CCGGCACCAUGACUCGGGCUGGAGCUCUCCUGAUGCUCUGUGCUGCCUUGAUCCUCAUCGCGGGUGGAAAGUGUGAUGACAUCUGCCCAGCCUUGAGGGACACUGUUGACCUGUUCAUAUCAGGAAGCCAUGAUGAGUAUAUUGAACAAGUUGAAAAGUAUAAC
Molecule: long non-coding RNA, 164 nt
Organism: Cervus elaphus (red deer)
Lineage: Eukaryota; Metazoa; Chordata; Mammalia; Artiodactyla; Cervidae
Exons: 2
Source: RefSeq, a predicted model, not a curated record